This 20-nucleotide ribosomal RNA is filed under the name Bonamia sp. ex Crassostrea ariakensis. RNAcentral's name for it is "partial small subunit ribosomal RNA". The record is from RNAcentral. Lineage: Eukaryota; Endomyxa; Ascetosporea; Haplosporida; Haplosporidiidae.
UGUAGGUGAACCUGCGGAAG